Molecule: ribosomal RNA, 421 nt
Filed under: uncultured bacterium
Lineage: Bacteria
Description: partial 16S ribosomal RNA
Rfam family: Bacterial small subunit ribosomal RNA
Source: RNAcentral
AAUUUUGGACAUUGGUGGCAACCCUGAUCCAGCCAUCCCGCGUGAGCGCUGAAGGACUUCGGGUUGUAAAGCAAUUUUGGCAGGGAAGAAAAUGCUCUGGCUAAUACCCGGAGCUGCUGACGGUACCUGCAGAUUAAGCACCGGCUAACUACGAGCGAGCAGCCGCGGUAAUACGUAGGGUGCAGGCGUUAAUCGGAAUUACUGGGCGUAAAUCGUGCGCAGGCGGUUCGGCAAGAAGGAUGUGAAAUCCCAGGGCUUAACCUUGGAACUGCAUUCUUAACUGCCGGGCUAGAGUAUGUCAGAGGGGGGUAGAAUUCCGCGUGUAGCAGUGAAAUGCGUAGAGAUGCGGAGGAAUACCGAUGGCGAAGGCAGCCCCCUGGGAUAAUACUGACGCUCAUGCACGAAAGCGUGGGGAGCAAAC